AACGAACGCUGGCGGCAUGCCUAACACAUGCAAGUCGAACGAGACCUUCGGGUCUAGUGGCGCACGGGUGCGUAACGCGUGGGAACCUGCCCUUAGGUUCGGAAUAACUCCCCGAAAGGGGUGCUAAUACCGGAUAAUGUCUUCGGACCAAAGAUUUAUCGCCUUUGGAUGGCCCCGCGUUGGAUUAGCUAGUUGGUAGGGUAAAAGCCUACCAAGGCGACGAUCCAUAGCUGGUCUGAGAGGAUGAUCAGCCACACUGGGACUGAGACACGGCCCAGACUCCUACGGGAGGCAGCAGUGGGGAAUAUUGGACAAUGGGCGAAAGCCUGAUCCAGCAAUGCCGCGUGAGUGAUGAAGGCCUUAGGGUUGUAAAGCUCUUUUACCCGGGAUGAUAAUGACAGUACCGGGAGAAUAAGCUCCGGCUAACUCCGUG
Molecule: ribosomal RNA, 433 nt
Filed under: uncultured bacterium
Lineage: Bacteria
Description: partial 16S ribosomal RNA
Rfam family: Bacterial small subunit ribosomal RNA
Source: RNAcentral